Non-coding RNA from Cavia porcellus (domestic guinea pig), 814 nucleotides. Lineage: Eukaryota; Metazoa; Chordata; Mammalia; Rodentia; Caviidae. The record is from the annotation of a RefSeq genome assembly.
UUAUUCACAAGCUUCUGGUCUCGUCCUGUGCAGCACAGUCAGGACACAGCAUGGACAUGAGGGUCCCCACUCACAUUCUGGGCCUCUUGGUGCUCUGGAUAUCAGGUGCCAGAUGUGACAUCCAGUUGACACAGCCUGCAUCUGCAUCUCCAUCUGUGGGAGACACAGUCAAGAUCAGUUGCCGGGCCAGUCAGAGUGUUAGCAGUUACUUAAACUGGUAUCAGCAGAAACCAGGGCAAGCUCCUAAACUCCUGAUCUAUCGUGCCACCAAUUUGCAGUCUGGGGUCCCAUCAAGGUUCAGUGGCAGUGGUUCUGGGACAGAUUUCACUCUCACCAUCAGCAGCCUGCAGCCGGAAGUCUUUGCAGUUUAUUACUGUCAGCAGGACCAGAGUUGGCCUCCCAGAGUGAUACAAGCCAUGACAUAAACCUCCCAGGUCAGCAGAAGUGUGGGGUAGGGGUGCUGCAGUUGUUCCUCUUUGUGUCUCCAGCUGCAGACCAAGUUCUGAAAUGCAUCUAGACUUUGAAGGUCCCUGGAAGGAUUUGGUAGAAGUAUCCAUGGAAGCUCCUCCCUCCGCUAACUUCCUUUUCUGUUUCUCACCCCUGAUUUAAUGAAAGACCCUGAUUUAAUGAAAUAAUAUGGAUUACACCAUCAUUUUGAAUUCACUUGGCAGCAGUGAAACUCUUCUUUGAGUUCCAAGCAAUAAUUUUAAAAAUCUUUUAUCACUGUUACACAUUUAUUAAUUAAUUUUAUUUUUUAUUUUAAAGAGACUAAAACUAAAGUACAGCCAAAUAAUUUUAAGCAAAACAGUACAGU